AACGCGAAGAACCUUACCUACCCUUGACAUGGUCGGAAUCCUGCUGAGAGGUGGGAGUGCUCGAAAGAGAACCGGCGCACAGGUGCUGCAUGGCUGUCGUCAGCUCGUGUCGUGAGAUGUUGGGUUAAGUCCCGCAACGAGCGCAACCCUUGUCCUUAGUUGCUACGCAAGAGCACUCUAAGGAGACUGCCGGUGACAAACCGGAGGAAGGUGGGGAUGACGUCAAGUCCUCAUGGCCCUUAUGGGUAGGGCUUCACACGUCAUACAAUGGUCGGUACAGAGGGUUGCGAAGCCGCGAGGCGAAGCCAAUCCCAGAAAACCGAUCCCAGUCCGGAUCGGAGUCUGCAACUCGACUCCGUGAAGUCGGAAUCGCUAGUAAUCGCGAAUCAGCUAUGUCGCGGUGAAUACGUUCCCGGGUCUUGUACACACCG
This 431-nucleotide ribosomal RNA is filed under the name uncultured bacterium. RNAcentral describes it as "bacterial SSU rRNA". It matches the Rfam family "Bacterial small subunit ribosomal RNA", at positions 958 to 1392 of the family's 1533-position model. The record is from RNAcentral.